AGAAGAGGAAAGGCUGGGGGUUUCGGAUGGUUGUUUUUGAAGCCAUCAGUAUUCUUGAAGAAGCAGCAUAUCUUGAACUGUCCUAUGGGUGAAGGCUUUGAUGUGGUCCUGUAAAAACUGGAUUUGGAGGAUCAUCUGAAUACCCAUCCAACAGAGAUCCAUGAUUCAUGUAUUUCUCAAGACAGCCAUACACUAAAAUUAUAAGAUCAUAAGAAUAUUAAUUAUAUUCUACCAAUGCAAUACAAGCAUUGAAAUGGAUGGCAUCUGAUCCUGCUUCAUGUGAUUCUUCAUUUAGCUCUGGACUCUUUACAUCAUUAAGGUACCCUGAAUAUAUUCAGUAUGGCUUUUUCUUUGCAGGAAUUUAAAAGCAACCCUAUGAAUAUAACAUUUGUCAAAAAGAGCAAGUGCCAAGCCAGUUGAGAAUAACCUUACAAUGUGUACAAGGAUUCCAGCUUAUGCAACAUGAAAAUGGCAAGGAUGAAGACCUUUAUGAUGAUCCAUUUCCAUUUAAUGAAUAGAAGAAGUGUUAUCAAUUCUGUUGAUGGACCCCUUAAUCUCUUCUACUGAUUAUCUUCUACUUGAACCAGUGCCAAAUUAAUGUUGCAAGCUUUGUCUUGAAAUAUGUAAGACUUAUAACUUUGUUGUUAUUCCACUCGAUUGUGAUGAAUAUGGGUAUUCUGGGUUUCCAUUUAAACUUUACAUACGGUUUUUAAAUUUCUCCAAAAAA
Long non-coding RNA from Homo sapiens (human), 727 nucleotides. Ensembl annotates it as long intergenic non-protein coding RNA 2064. The record is from Ensembl. NCBI's taxonomy places the organism in Eukaryota, Metazoa, Chordata, Mammalia, Primates, Hominidae.